RNAcentral lists this ribosomal RNA (63 nucleotides) under Staphylococcus schleiferi. RNAcentral's name for it is "partial 23S ribosomal RNA". Lineage: Bacteria; Bacillati; Bacillota; Bacilli; Caryophanales; Staphylococcaceae. The record is from RNAcentral.
AGGUGGAAGCGUAGUGAUACGUGGAGCUGACGAAUACUAAUCGAUCGAAGACUUAAUCAAAUU